UAGAUGGCGCCGGCGCACGGGUGAGUAACACGUAUCCAACCUGCCGAUAACUCGGGGAUAGCCUUUCGAAAGAAAGAUUAAUACCCGAUGGUAUAAUCAGACCGCAUGGUCUUGUUAUUAAAGAAUUUCGGUUAUCGAUGGGGAUGCGUUCCAUUAGGCAGUUGGUGAGGUAACGGCUCACCAAACCUUCGAUGGAUAGGGGUUCUGAGAGGAAGGUCCCCCACAUUGGAACUGAGACACGGUCCAA
This 247-nucleotide ribosomal RNA is filed under the name uncultured bacterium. RNAcentral's name for it is "partial 16S ribosomal RNA". It matches the Rfam family "Bacterial small subunit ribosomal RNA", at positions 86 to 334 of the family's 1533-position model. The record is from RNAcentral.